UGCGAUUGGCUGGCAACCAGUUCAGGGUGUCCGCCGCCUCCUGCCCGUUGACAGCUGGGAUAGGCUGCGGCACUCCCUGCGACCCUCGUGAGGAUAAGCGGCAAAGAAAAUGGAGUGCUCGGUCCCUAAGCCAAACAUUGUUGUCAUCAUCCUCCAAUUACCGAACCGUCUUACGACAUUUUGGAUCAUCGCUGAGCGAUUGUGGCUCGGUCGCCGCCUCCCGGUCGGGAGGGUUCAGCGUUUCGAUCUGAGCUCCGAGGCCUUGCUCCCACAUUUGAAAAGCGCACUUUGCAGGUGUGAUUGUGAGUGCGGCUGUUUGUCUCGAUGUUUGUCCUGCAGUUGGCUGGUGACCAGUUCAGGGCGUACAACGCCUCCUGCCCGUUGACAGCUGGGAUAGGCUCCAGGACUAGCGCG
Molecule: long non-coding RNA, 414 nt
Organism: Syngnathoides biaculeatus (alligator pipefish)
Lineage: Eukaryota; Metazoa; Chordata; Actinopteri; Syngnathiformes; Syngnathidae
Exons: 3
Source: RefSeq, a predicted model, not a curated record